This 844-nucleotide ribosomal RNA is filed under the name uncultured bacterium. Its description in RNAcentral is "bacterial SSU rRNA". It matches the Rfam family "Bacterial small subunit ribosomal RNA", at positions 26 to 899 of the family's 1533-position model. The record is from RNAcentral.
AGGAUGAACGCUGGCGGCGUGCCUAACACAUGCAAGUCGAGCGAUCUUCUUCGGAAGAGAGCGGCGGACGGGUGAGUAACGCGUGGGUAACCUGCCCUGUACACACGGAUAACAUACCGAAAGGUAUGCUAAUACGGGAUAACAUAUGAGAGUCACAUGACUUUUAUAUCAAAGCUUUUGCGGUACAGGAUGGACCCGCGUCUGAUUAGCUAGUUGGUAAGGUAACGGCUUACCAAGGCGACGAUCAGUAGCCGACCUGAGAGGGUGAUCGGCCACACUGGAACUGAGACACGGUCCAGACUCCUACGGGAGGCAGCAGUGGGGAAUAUUGCACAAUGGGCGAAAGCCUGAUGCAGCAACGCCGCGUGAGCGAUGAAGGCCUUCGGGUCGUAAAGCUCUGUCCUCAAGGAAGAUAAUGACGGUACUUGAGGAGGAAGCCCCGGCUAACUACGUGCCAGCAGCCGCGGUAAUACGUAGGGGGCUAGCGUUAUCCGGAAUUACUGGGCGUAAAGGGUGCGUAGGCGGUCUUUCAAGCCAGAAGUGAAAGGCUACGGCUCAACCGUAGUAAGCUUUUGGAACUGUAGGACUUGAGUGCAGGAGAGGAGAGUAGAAUUCCUAGUGUAGCGGUGAAAUGCGUAGAUAUUAGGAGGAAUACCAGUAGCGAAGGCGGCUCUCUGGACUGUAACUGACGCUGAGGCACGAAAGCGAGGGGAGCGAACAGGAUUAGAUACCCUGGUAGUCCACGCCGUAAACGAUGAGUACUAGGUGUCGGGGGUUACCCCCCUCGGUGCCGCAGCUAACGCAUUAAGUACUCCGCCUGGGAAGUACGCUCGCAAGAGUGAAA